This 439-nucleotide ribosomal RNA is filed under the name Streptococcus anginosus. RNAcentral's name for it is "bacterial SSU rRNA". It matches the Rfam family "Bacterial small subunit ribosomal RNA", at positions 68 to 491 of the family's 1533-position model. Lineage: Bacteria; Bacillati; Bacillota; Bacilli; Lactobacillales; Streptococcaceae. The record is from RNAcentral.
UAUACCGUAGCUUGCUACACCAUAGACUGUGAGUUGCGAACGGGUGAGUAACGCGUAGGUAACCUGCCUAUUAGAGGGGGAUAACUAUUGGAAACGAUAGCUAAUACCGCAUAACAGUAUGUAACACAUGUUAGAUGCUUGAAAGAUGCAAUUGCAUCGCUAGUAGAUGGACCUGCGUUGUAUUAGCUAGUAGGUAGGGUAAAGGCCUACCUAGGCAACGAUACAUAGCCGACCUGAGAGGGUGAUCGGCCACACUGGGACUGAGACACGGCCCAGACUCCUACGGGAGGCAGCAGUAGGGAAUCUUCGGCAAUGGGGGGAACCCUGACCGAGCAACGCCGCGUGAGUGGAGAAGGUUUUCGGAUCGUAAAGCUCUGUUGUUAAGGAAGAACGAGUGUGAGAAUGGAAAGUUCAUGCUGUGACGUACUAACCAAAAGGC